Molecule: transfer RNA, 76 nt
Filed under: Kiritimatiellia bacterium
Lineage: Bacteria; Pseudomonadati; Kiritimatiellota; Kiritimatiellia
Description: tRNA-Thr
Rfam family: tRNA
About the family: Transfer RNA (tRNA) molecules are approximately 80 nucleotides in length. Their secondary structure includes four short double-helical elements and three loops (D, anti-codon, and T loops).
Source: RNAcentral
GCCAACGUAGCUCAGCUGGUAGAGCAGCUCACUCGUAAUGAGCAGGUCGUCCGUUCAAAUCGGAUCGUCGGCUCCA